AGAACGAACGCUGGCGGCAUGCCUAAUACAUGCAAGUCGAACGAACACUUCGGUGUUAGUGGCGCACGGGUGCGUAACGCGUGGGAAUCUGCCCUUGGGUUCGGAAUAACAGUUGGAAACGACUGCUAAUACCGGAUGAUGACGAAAGUCCAAAGAUUUAUCGCCCAGGGAUGAGCCCGCGUAGGAUUAGCUAGUUGGUGAGGUAAAGGCUCACCAAGGCGACGAUCCUUAGCUGGUCUGAGAGGAUGAUCAGCCACACUGGGACUGAGACACGGCCCAGACUCCUACGGGAGCAGCAGUAGGAAUAUUGGACAAGUGGGCGCAAGCCUGAUCCGAGCAAUCGCCGCGUGAGUGAUGAAGGUCCGUUAGGGUUAGUAAAGCUUCUUUUACCCGAGUA
Molecule: ribosomal RNA, 397 nt
Filed under: uncultured soil bacterium
Lineage: Bacteria
Description: bacterial SSU rRNA
Rfam family: Bacterial small subunit ribosomal RNA
Source: RNAcentral